This 220-nucleotide unclassified non-coding RNA is filed under the name uncultured fungus. Its description in RNAcentral is "sequence contains ITS1". Lineage: Eukaryota; Fungi. The record is from RNAcentral.
CCUUCCUUUUCCAGGCUCGGACUGGCGGGAAGUACCACGUCGGCAAACCGGCACGUAUCGCUGAAGAAGAUAUCUUGCGCGACGAAAAAUUCGAGUUUAGAGAGCCCAUCCCGGACGAAGUUUGAGUUCGAGUCCACCAGGCUGAUCUCUUCUCCGAACAAGUACAUGGCCUUGAGUUUGCCCACAUGGAUCGCAUCGAUCAUUUCGUGGUUAUCAAGGC